This 1469-nucleotide long non-coding RNA is filed under the name Coccomyxa subellipsoidea. Its description in RNAcentral is "long non-coding RNA (CSUB_LNC000039)". Lineage: Eukaryota; Viridiplantae; Chlorophyta; Trebouxiophyceae; Coccomyxaceae. The record is from RNAcentral.
UGCAUAUACAGCAUGAGCGAUCACCUUGGGGGCAUAGGCGUAGCAGGUCUAGCAGAGGUCUAGAAAAAUCUGCCAAGAAGCCUUUCCUUGAUGACACGCUUGCUGUAGCAGUAGUACUAUUGAGCGUGACACUUGUGACUGUUGGAACCUGAACAAAUUGCGAGGCAAUUCACCAUGCAUGUGUCACGUGUAUUGCUCUGAGCAUCCCAACAUUCUUGAUGGUCUCAUACCUCAAUAAGUCUUUCGACAGAUUUCCAUGUGGCCGUUGCCACACCCUGCAUGUCACUUAGUGAUUAUCGUCUGAUUCAAACAACAAAAUCUCACUGCCUUUGUGUGAUGACAUAGUUGCCUAAUGCGAAGUGACGAACACAAUACCCUCACCUCAAAGUCGGUGUCAGGGGUUCGGGUUGCGUCGACAGUGUUAGCUCUGACACCUGCAAGAUGGCAGAAGUUCAUGCUACAGCAGCGCAAAGAAUGUUUCCUCAUCAUUAGAUGUAGUUAUUACAUAAAGUCAACACGCUGCCAAACGGUAUGACCCAGGUAUUGCGAGGUCGUACGAGAUCAACUUACUCGACAGCAUAUCACAGGUAUGUAAAAAGUGGAACCAGCACAUACCUUUGACGAGGGAACAUGACCUCUGUUGAGAAGAUAUCAAAACAAGGACUGCCAGCAGCCAAAAUCCUGCAUCGUGGCAAUUCUCACAUUAAAAGAUAUAUACUGACAUGUGCAUUGAUUGGAGACAUAUUGCCGGAAGAUGGGGCAUGGGUGAUGAUGACUGUGAGGAUACAAAGAACUGCAGGUACGUUGGGACUGGACUGCGCCCAUUUCAAGCUCUGUCAGAAGUCAGUGAGGAGACAUUAUGGCUCGCAUCCAGUACCUCGCGGUGCUCCAGAGCGCUCUUCAACCAUUCUGAUCUACCUGCGUGAAGCACGCAACAUAAACUCAACAGCACGUCACCACAUGUGAAAACUGAAGACACUGGCCUCAGCCUCCCAGCGAGCCAAGGCCGAUUUUCCAAAAUUUUAGGUUGACUGCUGCAACCAUUUGGGUCCUGCCCCUUCCAAAAGUUGACUGUAGACAAGGGAAGUAGUUGGCACGUUGAAGGCUCUGAUGAAUGCAAGCUGUGGACAACUACACUUCGGUGGAGGGCCGUUCAAGUUCACGCUCUUUGGGCUGGCACACACCGGUGUGCGCAGAGACCUCCAGCGGUCUAAAGCCUUGGAAAGGAUACUAAUGUGCGAAUUUGGGUAUAUGAAUCCAGUAAUACUUAGUAAUCUUCCAGAGUCUCGUCCGCUGCCUGCGUACCUUACAAGUGCGCUUAGCAAAGGACGUAUGCUCAACUUUUACUGUGCGUCCGAGCUGUUGACGCGGCAGGUGUCCCAAAUAUAAGGUCCAGUCCCGCUGCAGGAGUGUGUUGCUGGCUCCGGCAUCAAGCUUGUGUUCUGAAAGGGUCACUCCUGGAGCCAACC